GAUGAACGCUGGCGGCGUGCCUAAUACGUGCAAGUCGAACGAAGUUCUAGCUUGCUAGAUCUUAGUGGCGAACGGGUGAGUAAUACAUAAAUAAUCUGCCCAUACGACUGGGAUAACUAUUGGAAACGAUAGCUAAUACCGGAUAGGUUGAUCGGAGGCAUCUCUGAUGAAUUAAAGUAGGAUUUCUACACAAAUGGAUGAGUUUAUGGCGCAUUAGUUAGUUGGUGGGGUAACGGCCUACCAAGACGAUGAUGCGUAGCCGACCUGAGAGGGUGACCGGCCACACUGGGACUGAGACACGGCCCAGACUCCUGAGGGAGGCAGCAGUAGGGAAUUUUCGGCAAUGGGCGCAAGCCUGACCGAGCAACGCCGCGUGAGUGAUUAAGGCCUUCGGGUUGUAAAGCUCUGUUGUAAGGGAAGAACAUUCAGGAUAGGAAAUGAUCUUGAACUGACGGUACCUUACCAGAAAGCCACGGCUAACUACGUGCCAGCCGCCGCAGUAA
Molecule: ribosomal RNA, 503 nt
Filed under: uncultured bacterium
Lineage: Bacteria
Description: partial 16S ribosomal RNA
Rfam family: Bacterial small subunit ribosomal RNA
Source: RNAcentral